RNAcentral lists this ribosomal RNA (254 nucleotides) under uncultured bacterium. RNAcentral describes it as "partial 16S ribosomal RNA". It matches the Rfam family "Bacterial small subunit ribosomal RNA", at positions 524 to 776 of the family's 1533-position model. The record is from RNAcentral.
UACGUAGGGGACGAGCGUUGUCCGGAUUUAUUGGGCGUAAAGAGCUCGUAGGCGGUUUGGCAAGUCGGGUGUGAAAACUCCGGGCUCAACUCGGAGACGCCACUCGAUACUGCUAUGACUCGAGUCCGGUAGGGGAGUGCGGAAUUCCUGGUGUAGCGGUGAAAUGCGCAGAUAUCAGGAGGAACACCGGUGGCGAAGGCGGCACUCUGGGCCGGUACUGACGCUGAGGAGCGAAAGCGUGGGGAGCGAACAGG